RNAcentral lists this ribosomal RNA (484 nucleotides) under uncultured bacterium. Its description in RNAcentral is "partial 16S ribosomal RNA". It matches the Rfam family "Bacterial small subunit ribosomal RNA", at positions 30 to 507 of the family's 1533-position model. The record is from RNAcentral.
AUUGAACGCUGGCGGCAGGCCUAACACAUGCAAGUCGAGCGGAUGAAGGGAGCUUGCUCCUGGAUUCAGCGGCGGACGGGUGAGUAAUGCCUAGGAAUCUGCCUGGUAGCGGGGGAUAACGUCCGGAAACGGGCGCUAAUACCGCAUACGUCCUGAGGGAGAAAGUGGGGGAUCUUCGGACCUCACGCUAUCAGAUGAGCCUAGGUCGGAUUAGCUAGUUGGUGGGGUAAAGGCCUACCAAGGCGACGAUCCGUAACUGGUCUGAGAGGAUGAUCAGUCACACUGGAACUGAGACACGGUCCAGACUCCUACGGGAGGCAGCAGUGGGGAAUAUUGGACAAUGGGCGAAAGCCUGAUCCAGCCAUGCCGCGUGUGUGAAGAAGGUCUUCGGAUUGUAAAGCACUUUAAGUUGGGGGGAAGGGCAGUAAGUUAAUACCUUGCUGUUUUGACGUUACCAGCAGAAUAAGCACCGGCUAACUUCGUG